RNAcentral lists this ribosomal RNA (440 nucleotides) under uncultured bacterium. Its description in RNAcentral is "partial 16S ribosomal RNA". It matches the Rfam family "Bacterial small subunit ribosomal RNA", at positions 338 to 795 of the family's 1533-position model. The record is from RNAcentral.
CCUACGGGUGGCAGCAGUAGGGAAUAUUGCGCAAUGGGCGAAAGCCUGACGCAGCAACGCCGCGUGAACGAGACGGCCUUUGUGGUUUAAAGUUCUCUUUGUUGGGACGAAAGAUGACGGUACCUACCGAGGAAGCACCGGCUAACUCCGUGCCAGCAGCCGCGGUAAUACGGAGGGUGCAAGCGUUGUCCGGAAUCAAUGGGCGUAAAGAGUUCGUAGGCGGUAUGUUAAGUCUGGUGUUAAAUGCUGAAGCUUAACUUCUGUUCGGCAUUGGAUACUGGCAAACUGGAGUGGGGUAGAGGUAGGGGGAAUGCGUGGUGUAGCGGUGAAAUGCUUAGAUAUCAGGAGGAACAUCGAUGGCGAAGGCGCUUUACUGGGCCGUAAUUGACGCUGAGGAACGAAAGCGUGGGUAGCAAAUAGGAUUAGAUACCCUAGUAGUC